This 492-nucleotide ribosomal RNA is filed under the name uncultured bacterium. RNAcentral describes it as "partial 16S ribosomal RNA". It matches the Rfam family "Bacterial small subunit ribosomal RNA", at positions 29 to 507 of the family's 1533-position model. The record is from RNAcentral.
AGUGAACGCUGGCGGUAGGCCUAACACAUGCAAGUCGAACGGCAGCACAGUAAGAGCUUGCUCUUAUGGGUGGCGAGUGGCGGACGGGUGAGGAAUACAUCGGAAUCUACUUUUUCGUGGGGGAUAACGUAGGGAAACUUACGCUAAUACCGCAUACGACCUACGGGUGAAAGCAGGGGAUCUUCGGACCUUGCGCGAUUGAAUGAGCCGAUGUCGGAUUAGCUAGUUGGCGGGGUAAAGGCCCACCAAGGCGACGAUCCGUAGCUGGUCUGAGAGGGUGAUCAGCCACACUGGAACUGAGACACGGUCCAGACUCCUACGGGAAGCAGCAGUGGGGAAUAUUGGACAAUGGGCGAAAGCCUGAUCCAGCCAUACCGCGUGAGUGAAGAAGGCCUUCGGGUUGUAAAGCCCUUUUGUCGGGAAAGAAAAGCAGCAGGUUAAUACCCCGCUGUUCUGACGGUACCCAAAGAAUAAGCACCGGCUAACUUCGUG